This 1287-nucleotide long non-coding RNA is filed under the name Volvox carteri. Its description in RNAcentral is "long non-coding RNA (VCAR_LNC001696)". The record is from RNAcentral. Lineage: Eukaryota; Viridiplantae; Chlorophyta; Chlorophyceae; Chlamydomonadales; Volvocaceae.
AUCGCACCCAUUGGGUACGAUGGUAGCCAUGCCACACAUCCGCCUGUUUACCAUCGCACCCAUUGGGUACGAUGGUAGCCGUGCCACACAUCCGCCUGUUUACCAUCGCACCCAUUGGGUACGAUGGUAGCCGCGCCACACAUCCGCCUGUUUACCAUCGCCGCCUGUUUACCAUCACACCCAUUGGGUACGAUGGUAGCCGCGCCACACAUCCGCCUUUUUACCAUCGCACCCAUUGGGUACGAUGGUAGCCAUGCCACACAUCCGCCUGUUUACCAUCGCCGCCUGUUUACCAUCGCACCCAUUGGGUACGAUGGUAGCCGUGCCACACAUCCGCCUGUUUACCAUCGCACCCAUUGGGUACGAUGGUAGCCGUGCCACACAUCCGCCUGUUUACCAUCGCACCCAUUGGGUACGAUGGUAGCCGUGCCACACAUCCGCCUGUUUACCAUCGCACCCAUUGGGUACGAUGGUAGCCGUGCAACACAUCCGCCUGUUUACCAUCGCACCCAUUGGGUACGAUGGUAGCCGUGCCACACAUCCGCCUUUUUACCAUCGCACCCAUUGGAUACGAUGGUAGCCGUGCCACACAUCCGCCUGUUUACCAUCGCACCCAUUGGGUGCGAUGGUAGCCGUGCCACACAUCCGCCUAUUUACCAUCGCACCCAUUGGGUGCGAUGGUAGCCGCGCCACACAUCCGCCUUUUUACCAUCGCACCCAUUGGGUGCGAUGGUAGCCGUGCCACACAUCCGCCUGUUUACCAUCGCCGCCUGUUUACCAUCGCACCCAUUGGGUACGAUGGUAGCCGCGCCACACAUCCGCCUUUUUACCAUCGCACCCAUUGGGUACGAUGGUAGCCGUGCCACACAUCCGCCUGUUUACCAUCGCCGCCUGUUUACCAUCGCACCCAUUGGGUACGAUGGUAGCCGUGCCACACAUCCGCCUGUUUACCAUCGCACCCAUUGGGUACGAUGGUAGCCGUGCCACACAUCCGCCUGUUUACCGUCGCACCCAUGAUACAUACACACAUUUGUACGUGGGCACAUGAGCACACGGAUGGUGGGGCACACACAUUCACUCCAAAAAAAGAACGGAGGGAGGGAAGGCCAAGGGAGUGAAGGGGACAGCAGAGGGGAAGGCACAGGAUGGAUGAAGGGAGGGCACAUGGUAGGGGAAGGGAGGAUGUUGGGAGGGAGCGUUGAGGGAAGUGGGGGGGAUGAUGGAGGAAGGGUGGAGGAAGAGAGGGAAAUGGUAUUGUGGAGGGAUUAUUGAGGGAGGGUGGAGUGA